UUCAAUCAGUGAAACUGAUCUUCCCGUGAAGAAGCGGGAAUUACAAUAUAAGACGAGAAGACCCCAUGAAGCUUCAAAUUAAAUACUAACUGCUAUUCUAACAUCACCACAACCUAGCAGAUCUAGUCAUUAAUUUUAGGUUGGGGUGACCACGGAGCACAACAAAACCUCCACAAUGAAAAGGCCUAACUCCCUAAUUUAAGAACAACAAUUCUAACAAUCAAUAUAUUGACAUACUUGACCCAAAUUUUUGAUCAAUGAACCAAGUUACUCUGGGGAUAACAGCGCAAUCCAUUUCAAGAGCCCCUAUCGACAAAUGGGUUUACGACCUCGAUGUUGGAUCAGGGUAUCCCAGUGGUGUAGCCGCUACUAAAG
Molecule: ribosomal RNA, 375 nt
Filed under: Arthroleptis krokosua
Lineage: Eukaryota; Metazoa; Chordata; Amphibia; Anura; Arthroleptidae
Description: partial 16S large subunit ribosomal RNA
Rfam family: Bacterial large subunit ribosomal RNA
Source: RNAcentral